AGUCAAUAAGUUUAAAACAUAUAUUUUGAAAAUAUAAUAAGAAAGUUUAAAGCUUUCAUUGACUU
Molecule: transfer RNA, 65 nt
Filed under: Gonopsis affinis
Lineage: Eukaryota; Metazoa; Arthropoda; Insecta; Hemiptera; Pentatomidae
Description: tRNA-Ser
Rfam family: tRNA
About the family: Transfer RNA (tRNA) molecules are approximately 80 nucleotides in length. Their secondary structure includes four short double-helical elements and three loops (D, anti-codon, and T loops).
Source: RNAcentral